AUUGAACGCUGGCGGCAGGCCUAACACAUGCAAGUCGAACGGUAGCACAGAGAGCUUGCUCUCGGGUGACGAGUGGCGGACGGGUGAGUAAUGUCUGGGAAACUGCCCGAUGGAGGGGGAUAACUACUGGAAACGGUAGCUAAUACCGCAUAACGUCGCAAGACCAAAGUGGGGGACCUUCGGGCCUCACACCAUCGGAUGUGCCCAGAUGGGAUUAGCUAGUAGGUGGGGUAAUGGCUCACCUAGGCGACGAUCCCUAGCUGGUCUGAGAGGAUGAACAGCCACACUGGAACGGAGACACGGUCCAGACUCCUACGGGAGGCAGCAGUGGGGAAUAUUGCACAAUGGGCGCAAGCCUGAUGCAGCCAUGCCGCGUGUAUGAAGAAGGCCUUCGGGUUGUAAAGUACUUUCAGCGGGGAGGAGGGUGUUGAGGUUAAUAACCUCAGCAAUUGACGUUACCCGCAGAAGAAGCACCGGCUAACUCCGUGCCAGCAGCCGCGUAA
Molecule: ribosomal RNA, 503 nt
Filed under: uncultured bacterium
Lineage: Bacteria
Description: partial 16S ribosomal RNA
Rfam family: Bacterial small subunit ribosomal RNA
Source: RNAcentral